GUCACACGAAUAUGUGCCGGUACACCGUGAUCUUGGUCGUACUCCUCCCGGCGCCUCAUCUCAUUUUCAUGCCGUCGGUCACGCGGAACGCUGAUGGUGCUUUGUGCAUCUUGUCGGCUAUUGAUGGGGUGAUGUAGGUCGUUCGCAGGAUGAGCGAGGGGCAGAAGAUGAUUGGCCGCCUGUGUAAGCAGUCGCCGGUAACCUUCCACGUCUGGGGUUUGCGGGAGUCUAUCGGCUAUCUGCGCCAUUAAUCCUCCAUCUUCACUCGGCGUGUUUAGUGCUCGAGCGAAAUCGGGGUACAUGUUUCGAGCAAGGAGAGGGUUCUCUCGCUGGAGCCUGGCGUCUUGUUCGGCUAGCUCUCGCUCCCGAUCCUGAGCCUAUCAGCGAUCAGGGCGGCGGGAGUUAUGUCUUUCUCGGUGUACUCCUUCAUCGGGAGUUUCUCCCACUUCUGAGGCUUCAUCACUGGAUAUGGGCUGCGCUGGAUCCUAUUCCCUAGCUUCAUGAUGUCGCCGCAUGUUUCGGCGUCUGUUUCUUCGUCGUCGGGCAUCACGCUGGGGAGGUUCCUCCUCUUGCGUGGUUGGCUCAUCGUUGAAGAUUGGCGCAGACUCCAUUCUGAUACACCCAGCCCAGGUGGGGUUGGUCGAGGCCCAACAAAUUAGGGUUGCCCGGAGCCCAACAGUUCAUUAAGCACACCCAACUCAGGGAAAGGCCCAAUCACCCCAAAAGACUAGUCCAAUGGGGGAAAGGUGGCUCUCCCUUUUAAAGUGGCUUCCUCCUCCCAAGUUAAGCGAGGUGGGAUAAUUCUGAGGCUCACACGGUCGCCGUCCGACUACAAUUGGGCCAACUGGGCCAAUUGCGUCUUUGCCAACGGGUAAUAGUGGAGGAUGUCCUCAUCAUUCCCAACUUCUUAAAAUGGGCCCUAGCUCUGAUACCAGAUGAUACACCCAGCUCAGGUGGGGUUGUCCGAGGCCCAACAAAUUAGGGUUGCCCGGAGCCCAACAGUUCAAUAAGCACACCCAACUCAGGGAAAGGCCCAAUCGCCCCGAAAGACUAGUCCAAUGGGGGAACGGUGGCGCACACUACAGGAAACGCAUAAAAUUUCGUGGGCCCAGAUAUUUUCGUCGAUCGGCCCACGAAAAUAAGGAAGGUAUUUUCGUCGGCCUCGUCACCGACGAAAAUACAGAGUAUUUUCGUGGGCCGGGGGCUAUGUUCGUCGGCAGGCCGACGAAAAUACUGAAUAUAUGUUCGUUGGCCUCGUAACCGACGAAAAUAUGUGUUAUUUACGUGGGCCGAGGCCGUGCCGACGAAAAUACGUCAACUAUUUUCGUCGGCCCCACUGAGGCCGACGAAAAUACGACCACUAUUUUCGUCGGCCCCAAUACGACCGACGAAAAUAAAAGACCUAAAUCGCUCGCGCGCCCGCACCUUCUCUCUCGCUCUCGCUCGUUUCUCUCGCUCGCUCAUUUCUCUGUUCGCCGCGCCGCCGCACGCCGCGCGCACGGACGUCGCAUGCCGCUCGCACGCGCGCCGCGCCGUGCCCCGUCCCCGCGCCGCCACCGCACGCUCGCACGCACGGACGCCGCGCGACGCCGCACGCACGCCGCGCCGUGCCCCGUCCCCGCGCCGCCCCUUCGCCGUGGCUCGUCCUCGCGUCGCCCCUUCGCUGUGCCCCGUCCCCGCACUCCCCUCGCCGAGGCCGCCUCGUCGCCGUGCCCCGUCCCCGCGCCGCCCCUCGCCUCACCCAGCCCUCUCCAUGCCCACCUCCUCGCCGUGCCCCAUCGCCGUGCCCGCCUCCUCGCCGUGGCCCAUCAGCGUGCCCGGCCCUCGCCGUGCCCGCCUACUCGUCGUGCCCCAUCGCCGUGACCCAUCGCCAUCGCCGCCUCCUCGCCGUGCCUCCUCGCCGUGACCCAUCGCCGUGCCGCCCCUCGCCGCGCCGCCCAUCGCCGAGUAACAAGGUACUUACUUAGUUGUUUUUUAUUUUCAUUAAUUGUUAUCUUGUUAUCUUGUCAUCUUGUGAUUAUGAUUUGAGUUAAAUUGUCGAGUUUAACUGUUGAUUGCUUUAAUUCAAAUUCAUAUUUGUCUCUGAUAUAUUUUUUAAUGUUUAGAGUUAAGUUUUAAUCGUUAACGAUAGCGAACCGUAUGCGUCACCCGUUCGGGAACGACGAACGUCACAUUGGCUUGUGAGGUUCGUCGUUCCGGAAUUGUCCACGUAUUUUGGACAGCCUGAGAGUGUAAGUCGAUGCUUGUGAUUUGUGACAUGUGCCUUAUGAUUGACGCGGAAUUUCGGUUGUGUAACCCAGUUGUUCUCUAACACACCAUGUUCAGGCGUGUGCUUGGAGAGCAGCGGGGUUAUGCUGCCGAAAUUUCGCGGCAAUCGUAGGCUACACGUCACAAAUCACAAGCAUCGGCCUACACUCUUGGGUGGGUUUAGGGCCUUUACCUAAUAGGGAGUUCACCUAAGCCACGGACGAUCGUUGAUGUUCUUUGUCUUUUGUUUAGCCUUUGAAAUGGACGAUGAUCGGAGGGUGAUGUAUGAUGGGUGGAGAAAGGAUGGGGCACAUUCGAAUGAAUGGAUGGGUGUAACAAAGGCUUUUCUUGAGCACGCUUUCAAAGAUGCAACUGGUCGUCUAGUGAAGUGUCCUUGCAAUCGUUGCGAGAUCAAGUGGCCUCAGAAGAAGGAAGAAAUGGAGAAACACCUUUGCAAAAGUGGGUUUAUGCCGAACUAUCUUGUAUGGUACCGGCAUGGAGAGUCUAUUAGACACGUUGACGAGGAGGUGGAACUUGAUGACGAUCAUGAUAGGAUGGACGACAUGUUGCAUGAUCUUGGUAGGGAUGUUGAAAUGAACGCUGAGGAGCCAGGGCAGCUUCCACGCGAUGCUCAGGAAUUCUUCCGGCUACUCGCCGCGAGAGAAGAGAGACUGCACGAGCACACUCAGAUGUCAGUUCUUGGGACUCUCACAAGACUAAUGGCGAUAAAGUCGAAGCACAACAUUUCAAACAGUGCUUACAACGACAUCGUCCAACUGAUGGGCGAGGUUCUCCCGGAGAAUCAUAAGUUGCCAAAGAAUAUGUACUUCACAAAGAAGAUGUUGGCUGGUCUUGGGAUGACAUAUGAGAAGAUCGACGUGUGUCCCAACAGUUGCAUGCUAUUCUUUGAGGAGGAUGACAAACUGGACCGUUGUAAGCAUUGCGAAGCUUCUAAAUAUGUCGAGGUGACAAAUGAUGAGGGUGAAUUGGUAGUUACGAAGGUCGCAGCUAAGCAACUUCGUCGGUUGCCCAUCAUUCCUCGGCUUUCAAGGUUGUUCCUCAACAAGGAAAUAGCUCUGCAUAUGACGUGGCCAAAGAAUGGUGUACGUCUCGUCACUAAUCCAGACAUAAUGGUCCAUCCGUCGGACGGUGAUGCUUGGAAGGCAUUUGACGAGUUUGAUCCCGAAUUUGCAAACGACCCUAGGAGUGUACGGCUUGGUCUAUCGACGGACGAAUUCACACCUUUCAAUACCAGUGCAAGCCCUUACUCGUGUUGGCCUGUCUUCAUUGUGCCAUAUAAUCUUCCUCCCGAGUUGGUCAAUAAAGAAGAGUUCAUGUUCCUUGCACUAGUCAUCCCAGGCCCCGAGCAUCCAGGGCCAAAGCUGAAUAUGUUUGUUCGCCCUUUAAUUGAAGAGCUGAAACAAUUGUGGAGAGGUGUGAAGGCUUAUGACAGCCAUACUGAAAAGGAGUUUACCAUGUGCGCUGCUUAUUUGUGGUCAGUGCAUGAUCUGCUGGCGUAUGGAGAUUGGUCUGGAUGGUGUGUUCAUGGUCGGUUGUGCUGUCCCAUAUGUAUGAAUGAUACAGAUGCAUUCAGAUUGAAGCAUGGUGGGAAAGUGUCAUUCAUUGAUGCUCAUCGACGUUGGACUCCAUUCAAGCAUGAUUUCAGGAAUUCGCUUACUGCAUUCAGAAGUGGAGCCAAAAUCAGAAAUGGGCCACCAAAGAGGCAAACUGCACCGCAGAUAAUGGCAUGGCAUGCUUGUCUGAAGCAAGGAGAAAAUGAUAGGUUCCAAGGCUAUGGGGAGGACCACAACUGGACCCAUAUUUCAUCAAUAUGGGAGCUUCCGUAUGCAAAAGCCUUGAUCAUGCCGCACAACAUAGACUUGAUGCACCAAGAGCGUAACGUUGUUGAAAGCAUCAUAAGCACAUGUUUCGAUGUGACUGAUAAAACAAAAGAUAAUAUGAAGGCAAGAAAAGACAUUGCUGAAAUUUGUAAGAGACUGAUGCUCGAGUUGAAAGUAAGCGAUAAAGGGCAUGAGAGUAGGCCGUGAGCUGAUUACUGCCUCAAGCCAGAUGAAAGGAAAGAAAUAUUUAAGUGGUUGAAGAAUCUGAAAUUUCCAGAUCGAUAUGCGGCAAAUCUGAAAUGGACAGUCAAUCUGAAGACCGGUAAAUUGAUCGGUUUGAAAAGCCAUGACUACCAUAUUAUUAUGUAGAGGCUGAUGCCCGUGAUGUUUCGAGGCUAUUUUAAGGAUGAGCUUUGGAGCAUAUUUGCAGAGCUGAGUUACUUCUAUAGGGAAGUAUGCGCAAAGACGGUAUCGAAGAGGUUGAUGUAGAAAUUUGAGAAAGAAAUUCCAAUUCUUAUUUGUAAAUUUGAAAAGGUUUUCCCGCCAGGAUUCUUUAAUGUGAUGCAACAUCUAAUUGUGCAUUUGCCUUGGGAAGCUUUGGUAGGCGGACCAGUGCAAUUCAGGUGGAUGUAUCCUAUAGAAAGGGCGUUGAAAAAGCUCAUGGCGUCUGUUCGCAACAAGGCUAGAGUCGAAGGGUGUAUUGCGGAGGCUUUUGCCCUUAAGGAGAUAUCUCAAUUCUCAACCAGGUAUUUCGCUCGAGCCAACAAUGUGUUUGCUCCUUCAGUGCGACUUCAUGUCGAAAAUGAAUCGCCCCAAGUUAAGCGAGGUGGGAUAAUUCUGAGGCUCACACGGUCGUCGUCCGACUACAAUUGGGCCAACUGGGCCAAUUGCGUCUUUGCCAAUGGGUAAUAGUGGAGGAUGUCCUCAUCA
This 5018-nucleotide long non-coding RNA is filed under the name Zea mays. RNAcentral describes it as "long non-coding RNA (ZMAY_LNC003727)". The record is from RNAcentral. Lineage: Eukaryota; Viridiplantae; Streptophyta; Magnoliopsida; Poales; Poaceae.